RNAcentral lists this ribosomal RNA (465 nucleotides) under uncultured bacterium. Its description in RNAcentral is "bacterial SSU rRNA". It matches the Rfam family "Bacterial small subunit ribosomal RNA", at positions 338 to 795 of the family's 1533-position model. The record is from RNAcentral.
CCUACGGGAGGCACCAGUGGGGAAUAUUGCACAAUGGGCGCAAGCCUGAUGCAGCCAUGCCGCGUGUGUGAAGAAGGCCUUCGGGUUGUAAAGUACUUUCAGCGGGGAGGAAGGUGUUGUGGUUAAUAACCACAGCAAUUGACGUUACCCGCAGAAGAAGCACCGGCUAACUCCGUGCCAGCAGCCGCGGUAAUACGGAGGGUGCAAGCGUUAAUCGGAACUACUGGGCGUAAAGCGCACGCAGGCGGUUUGUUAAGUCAGAUGUGAAAUCCCCGGGCUCAACCUGGGAACUGCAUUUGAAACUGGCAAGCUAGAGUCUCGUAGAGGGGGGUAGAAUUCCAGGUGUAGCGGUGAAAUGCGUAGAGAUCUGGAGGAAUACCGGUGGCGAAGGCGGCCCCCUGGACGAAGACUGACGCUCAGGUGCGAAAGCGUGGGGAGCAAACAGGAUUAGAUACCCCAGUAGUC